AGUCCCCGCACGUAAUAGUGUAAUAUGAUACAGUGUAUAUAUACGGUGUACCAGAGGCAGAGAAAUUUAAGUUUUUAGGUUUUCGCCCGCAAAGCAUUGGUGGGUAAUAUCGCGCAAAGCAUUGCUGGGUAAUAUCGCAAAACAUUGGAUUUUUUCCACGUGAUCGUGACGGGGUAAUAUAAGUGAAUGUCCACGAAGUUCGGUCUCUUUACUGUCUUUUGUCUUUUGUAAUACAGUUUACUCUCUUGUCUGGUUCUCGAAUAAUUCUGUUGUGGAUCGUGUACUUAUAUUGACAAGACAUCGACAUCAAAAGCAAUCUGAAAGGUUAGUAGUUGUUCAGAUGUGUUCAGAUUAUAUGUAUGUAUAUGUAUUCGCAUUGCAAUUGUUUGAGGUCAAGUAAAUAACCGCAGGCCCAGUGCGAGACACAUUUAAAUAUAUAUUUGCAUUUCUAUAAAUAUUCGCUUUG
This is a non-coding RNA of Paramuricea clavata, 466 nucleotides long. NCBI's taxonomy places the organism in Eukaryota, Metazoa, Cnidaria, Anthozoa, Malacalcyonacea, Plexauridae. The record is from the annotation of a GenBank genome assembly.